Long non-coding RNA from Nycticebus coucang (slow loris), 3546 nucleotides. RefSeq lists it as uncharacterized. The transcript is spliced from 3 exons. The record is from RefSeq and is a predicted model, not a curated record. Lineage: Eukaryota; Metazoa; Chordata; Mammalia; Primates; Lorisidae.
UCUUUUUUUUUUUUUUUUUAAUAUUUUUAUCUUUUUGUCCUGGCAUAUCAGCAAUUGUUUGGCUAUCUCUGGUAGAUUGGAUAUCUCUUUGCUAAAAGUUCUGUCCUCCCUCCCACAGUAGGAUGAUACGUCCUAGCCAGUUGGACUCAGGCUUGGCCACAGAGCUCGUCCUCGUCAUUGAAAGGUAGACUCCUAUCCGUCCACCUGGGUCCCAGAGUGAAGCUGAAUGGCAUGGGACAGAGCUGCAGCCAACCCUUGAUGGAUGUGCUGUGCAGAACAUCUUCCGUGAGCCACCAAGUCUGGGGUGGGGGGUGGGGGCGGUGUUCCUGUGGCCUGCCCUUGCCUGUUCUGAUUAGUUCCAAGGCCCCAGACCUUUCCUUCUAGGGCUUGUGGCUCUUCUUCCUGCUUGGGGGCAGGUUCCCUGCCCUUUCUGUUCCCAAACCUCCCAUCUGUGAAAAGUAGGGAGGGGAGAAACUGAUUUGUUGGGCAAAUAAGCGGUGAGCCUUCCUGAAGAUUCCUCUUAAUGAUACUGACUUGUAUUUUUUACAAAGCAAAUUAUCUAAGAGAGAUCUUGGCUGUUUCUUGCUAGCAACAGACCUAGCUGACAUCUGGUGAGGACAGACGGUGUUUGGGAAGCCCCGAUGCUCUAGGCAAGGAAGAGUCACAACCCAGGGUUGGAAACUGCUGGACUAAAGAAUGUCCAUGAGGGCAGAAGGGAGCACAGUUGUUUCAGAAAGUCCUGGACUUGAAUCCUGCUUUUUGCCAUUUACUAGGUAAUGACCUGCGGUGAGUCUGGUCUUCUCUGUGCGCACACACACUGGCGCUGUGCAGAGUGUCCUGUACGUGUACAUGUGACGUAGAACAGUUCCUGGCACAAAAGUGUUCUCUAAAUGUUAGCCCUUUUUAUUAUCUCAGUUAAUCCUCCCUACGUUCUUACUUAUUCAGUAGAUAUUCAGUGAACAUGACCAUGUGCCAGGGAUUGAUUAGGUGUGGGGGAGGGAGGGGGGAAACGUCAAAAACUGCUGCCUUUGUGGAGCACACUGUUACCCUAAUUUUACAAUUAAGAAUGCUGAAGCCCAGAGAGGUUGAGUGUCUUUUCCUUGUGCACACAGUAAGAGAAAAAGCAUUCUGGUUGUUUUGCCUGAUGACACACAAAAUCCCUGCUCCUCAUAUGUUCCUGCAGCAGCUGCUCUGGUCUGCAGUGACCUUGCCAUGAUCCUUGAGCCAUGGAGGGAAACUGAGUUUCAUUUCAUGUACUUGGGACCAGAGAAUGGGCAAAGUCAGUGGAAGCUGUCAGAGACGAGACUUGGGGCGGUGCCUGUGGCUCAAAGGAGUAGGGCGCCGGCCCCAUAUGCCGGAGAUGGCAGGUUCAAACCCAGCCCCGGCCAAAAACUGCAAACAAAACAAAACAAAACAAAAAACAGAUGAGACUUGGGAGCUAUGGGCUGCCAUGUUUUCUUCCAUGAGAAUGAAUCUGGAGAGAGAAUGAAGAAUGGGGCUAAGGCUGAGAGAGAAGCAGAGAAGUGCGGGGGGAGAUGGAGAGACACACACUGGUGUUCAUUGCUCCAAUUUCAACCAUUUUGAGCUCCUUCCUUUCUUUCAGCUCCCGAGUCACCCAGUAUCCUUACAACAGCUUCUCUCUUUUGUUUGUUCUUUUUUUUUCCUUAUUCUUUUUUUCUUUUCUUUUUUUGAGAUAGUCUCACUCUGUUGCCCUGGGUAGAGUACUGUGGUGUCACAGCUCACAGCAACCUCAAACUCAUGGGCUCAAGCAAUCCUCUGGCCUCAGCCUCCCAAGGAGCUGGGACUAUAGGCACCCGCCACAAUGCAUGGCUGUUUGUAGAGAUGGGUCUCACACUUGCUCAAACUCCUGCGCUCAGGCAAUCCACCCUCCUCAGCCUCCCAGAGUGCUAGGAUUACAGGCAUGAACCACUGCGCCCGGCCGACUUCCUUUUUUUGCUUAAACUUGCAACCAAAGGGAUCCUAGUUAAUACACUAGGAUGUGGCCAAUGCCCAAUGAGUGACUGCUCUAAGAUUCUUUGAGCUCCUGCCACUCCCUAGACUUUCUUUUUGGCGUCUGGAGCUGAGAGUAUCCUGUUCUUAAAUAACUUUGCAAUAGAUUCGCUGCUUCAGAGCAUGUGGCUGCAACCUAACUCUUAAUAAAUCAGGUGGGAGCUUUCUGCAUGGAAAAGAGCCUGUGCCAUACAUCAUUUUUGUUUUCCUCUUGGGGAGAACGGCCAUGCUACAGCAAUAACCUGCCACAUAUAUGUCUCAAAGCCCUAUUUAUAUAGCCAUAUGGAUAAAUAUAUAUAAAUAGGAGCCUGGAAUAAUAGAUUAAGAGAUCUGCUCAUCCAUAGAAGACUUAUGGGGCUUUCAGGACCUAAUGGUGGCCUGAUUCAGUAAGAAAAAUGGGUCUCCAGCAGGAUGUGGCCAAGAAUUAGGUGAGCCCCUGACCUGAAAGAGCCCCUGUCCAGGAGACAGAGAGGUGGAAGGACUAUGUGAAGAGCCAGAGGCUCUGUCAGAAUGAGCCGUAGGAGGGAACAAGCAGGACAGAGCUGUGCAAAGUUAUCAACCCUCGGCUGUGUCCCCAGCUUAGCCCCUGUUCUGCUGUGUGACCUUAGGCAGGUCACUUGCCUUCUCUGAGCCUUAGUUCCUCAUCUAUAAAUGAGGAAUGUGGACUUGCUGACCUCUAAGCUUCUCUUCUGCUCUGGUAUUAAAAUGACUCUGAGGUCGGCUUGGCGCCUGUGGCUCAAGCGGCUAAGGUACCAGCCCCAUACACCUGAGCUGGCAGGUUCGAAUCCAGCCCCGGCCAGCCAAACAACAAUGACAACUACAACCAAAAAAUAGCUGGGUGUUGCGGUGGGCGCCUAUAGUCCCAGCUACUUGAGAGUCAGAGGCAAGAGAAUUGCUUGAGCCCAGGAGUUUGAGGUUGCUGUGAGCUGUGAUGCCACAGCACUCUACCCAAGGCGACAGCUUGAGGCUCUGUCUCAAAAAAAAAAAAAUUACUGAGGUCUCUGGUCACGGUCCUUAAAGUCCAGGUGGUUAAAAAGAUCUCAUAGCUCACAGCAACCUCUAAAAUUCCUGUGCUCAAGUAAUCCUCUUGUCUCAGCCUCCCGAGUACUGGGACUAUAGGCACCCACACAACACUGGGCUAAUUUUUAGGAUGGGGUCUCUCUCUUGCUCAGGCUAGUCUCAAACUUCUGAUCUCAAGCGAUCCACCCACCUUGGCCUCCCAGAGUGCUGGGAUUAUAGGCAUGAGCCACCUUGCCUGGCCCCCACAUAGCUUAUCUUGCUUGGCCCUCAUGACCACCACAAGAGGGAGGCACCAUUACCACCCCUGUUUAUAGAAGAGGAAGCAGAGAACAGAGAGGCCUAGGGUGUGUCCCAGGCCACACAGCUGGCAAGUGGGCAUGUUAAGACACCCUCAGGAAUCUGACUCCAUUCAUAUUCCUGAUCACUGUGGUGGCUGUGGCUCAAGGAGUAGGGCGCCAAUCCCAUAUGCCAGAGGUGGCGGGUUCAAACCCAGCCCUGGCCAAAAAAAAAAAGAAA